Molecule: ribosomal RNA, 486 nt
Filed under: Veillonella parvula
Lineage: Bacteria; Bacillati; Bacillota; Negativicutes; Veillonellales; Veillonellaceae
Description: bacterial SSU rRNA
Rfam family: Bacterial small subunit ribosomal RNA
Source: RNAcentral
GACGAACGCUGGCGGCGUGCUUAACACAUGCAAGUCGAACGAAGAGCGAUGGAAGCUUGCUUCUAUCAAUCUUAGUGGCGAACAGGUGAGUAACGCGUAAUCAACCUGCCCUUCAGAGGGGGACAACAGUUGGAAACGACUGCUAAUACCGCAUACGAUCUAAUCUCGGCAUCGAGGAUAGAUGAAAGGUGGCCUCUACAUGUAAGCUAUCACUGAAGGAGGGGAUUGCGUCUGAUUAGCUAGUUGGAGGGGUAACGGCCCACCAAGGCGAUGAUCAGUAGCCGGUCUGAGAGGAUGAACGGCCACAUUGGGACUGAGACACGGCCCAGACUCCUACGGGAGGCAGCAGUGGGGAAUCUUCCGCAAUGGACGAAAGUCUGACGGAGCAACGCCGCGUGAGUGAUGACGGCCUUCGGGUUGUAAAGCUCUGUUAAUCGGGACGAAAGGCCUUCUUGCGAAUAAGUGAGAAAGGAAUUGACGGACCGG